Pistacia vera is the source of this 2183-nucleotide long non-coding RNA. RefSeq lists it as uncharacterized. The record is from RefSeq and is a predicted model, not a curated record. The transcript is spliced from 4 exons. Lineage: Eukaryota; Viridiplantae; Streptophyta; Magnoliopsida; Sapindales; Anacardiaceae.
CCCUCGUAUUAGCCCAAUCACUUUUAUCUCUCCAUAUUUGUGUCUAAACUCUUUUUAAAUCUCCACUCUUCUCUUCAUUUCACUCACCAACUUCACUCUGCUCUCUGCACUCUUCAUUUCCUGGGCCUUCAACAUGGUGGCCGAUGCCAAGGGUAAAUUGGACAUUUCCUUCGCUGGUACUUGCACCAAUAGCGCUUUUGCCGCUUGUUUCGCCGAGGUGUUUGUCAACUCAAACUCUUGUUCAUUAUUUUAUGUAUCACCUGAUCAUGUGUUUCUUUGAGACUUUUCGAUUGGAUCGGGUUUGUCAAGAUCUUUGUUUUAAUAUUUUACUCGAAAGUGGUCGUAAAUAGUCAAAGUUUGGAUUUUUAAUCUUAAGUUGUUUAUGGGUAUUUUAGUUUUCGUAAUCAAAGAUGAAAUUUUGAACGCAGUGGCUUUUGUUUGUAAAGUCAAAUCUUCAAAUAUGUAUGUUUUUCUGUAACAAUCAACUUGUAAUCUUGAUUUUAACGUUGAAGUUUCUCAUAGUUGGCGAAUCAUAUUGAUAUGUUCGGGAAAAUAUUUUAUGGAGAUGGUGAUCGAUUUGGGCCUGGAGAAACUCUGUGCUGUUUGUUUAACUGUUUUGCUUUUUAAAUUCCAUUGAUAUGCACUAUCAUCUUAAUUGUUGAAUUCUAGUAUAUGUAGGCUUUGAAACACAUUUUACUUAUCCAAUUUUAUGUGAUUAUGUGUAGAUUUGCACUAUUCCUUUGGACACUGCUAAAGUUAGGCUUCAGCUGCAAAAGAAAGGUGUAGCUGGAGAUGGAUUGGCCUUACCAAAAUACAGGGGUUUGUUGGGAACAGUUGGUACUAUUGCUCGGGAAGAAGGUCUAGCGGCACUCUGAAAAGGAAUUGUACCUGGAUUGCAUCGUCAAUGCUUAUUUGGAGGGUUGAGGAUUGUUAAAAACUUCUAUGUUGGUAGUGACUUUGUUGCAGAUGUUCCUUUAUCUAAGAAAAUACUUGCUGGGCUUACGACUAGGGAGUGGAAUGGUUGAAUGCUUUCGGAAUUAUGUUUUGCUUCUUUCAAGAUUAUGUGAUACAAGUUGACUUUAAUCGUAUAGUUAGAUAUUUUUUCUUACACGUGAAAUGCUUUAAUUUACUUUUGUACCUUUUCAUUUUCUGAUUUCUUAAGACGUGUCAUCUCAUCAAUAAGUGCUCUAGCAAUCACAAUUGCAAAUCCAACUGAUCUUGUCAAAGUAAGACUUCAAGCUAAAGGAAAAUUACCUCCUGGUGUGCCAAGGCGCUAUUCAGGAGCAUUGAAUGCUUACGAUGGUGCGUUUUGUGGGUAAGAGAAUCUUGGGAAAAGCAACAAACUUGAAGAAGAUGGUUGCACAAUUAGGUGUUAUUUGCAUGUGAAGAAUCUGCAUAAGGUGUGGAAUGGUAAUUAGUUGUUGUGUUUGAAGGGAUAUUGAGGGUUUAAACAUUCAAGCAAUAAUUGUGUUUGAAGGGAUAUUGUAAUUAUUUGUUUUGCUUCUGCCAAUUUUUGUUUGGAAGUAUUAUUUUUUUCACAUAUCUAGUGUUCUUGCUAGGGGCAAUCAUCAAGGUGAAUGAACUGAAAUGUUGGAAUUCUGCUUGUUAUCCACUCUUCAACCACAAUGAUCUGGUUUUAUUGAAAAUUUUAUGUCAUGAUUUGGCUUGGAUUGAGUUUGUACUUUUUAUAGCUGUGUAGUUGUGUAGGUGCUGGCGCCUGCAUAUAUUCUACAGCCUUGAAAGUUAUAGCAUUGUCACAAGCCUUGUUAAAAUAAAUGCCAAAGCCUUUCAAUUUAAAUCUUGGGGCGGAAGGUGUCCAAAAAAUGGGCUAAUAUCUCGUGGGAAAAAGUAUUGGGAUCCUUUCAAUCGGGAUGCGUUGAAUGUGGGUUUUAUAAAAUGACUAUAAUGAGAUACAUGAGAGAUAUAGCCGAGAAUGGGUUGGCAUUACUGAAAAACAAUUUCAUGGGGAAAGAAAUAUAUGAAGAUGCAAAGGUCGAUGAAGUCAGAGUAGAAUGAGCGAUGUAUGAAACAAACUUUCUUUAGUUAUAUAUUGUUGUUUCAAUGAUGUCAGAGGCCAAUGAGGGCAAAAACUUUGUAUCAAACUUUUCAUUAUUGUUUAUGCAUAUUGUAAAAUUUAUACAGUUGUUCAAUUUUGUUUACUCAGAGCAACAGUAAUAUAUGUA